CGCUGGCGGCAUGCCUAACACAUGCAAGUCGAACGAAGCCUUCGGGCUUAGUGGCGCACGGGUGCGUAACACGUGGGAAUCUGCCCUUCGGUUCGGAAUAACAGUUAGAAAUGACUGCUAAUACCGGAUGAUGACGUAAGUCCAAAGAUUUAUCGCCGAAGGAUGAGCCCGCGUAGGAUUAGGUAGUUGGUAGGGUAAUGGCCUACCAAGCCGACGAUCCUUAGCUGGUCUGAGAGGAUGAUCAGCCACACUGGGACUGAGACACGGCCCAGACUCCUACGGGAGGCAGCAGUGGGGAAUAUUGGACAAUGGGCGAAAGCCUGAUCCAGCAAUGCCGCGUGAGUGAUGAAGGCCUUAGGGUUGUAAAGCUCUUUUACCAGGGAUGAUAAUGACAGUACCUGGAGAAUAAGCUCCGGCUAACUCCGUG
Molecule: ribosomal RNA, 427 nt
Filed under: uncultured bacterium
Lineage: Bacteria
Description: bacterial SSU rRNA
Rfam family: Bacterial small subunit ribosomal RNA
Source: RNAcentral